GGUUGCGAUCAUACCAGCACUAAUGCACCGGAUUCCAUUAGAACUCCGCAGUUAAGCAUGCUUGGGCGAGACUAGUACUAGGAUGGGUGACCCCCUGGGAAGUCCUCAUGUUGAAACCC
Molecule: ribosomal RNA, 119 nt
Filed under: Helianthus annuus (common sunflower)
Lineage: Eukaryota; Viridiplantae; Streptophyta; Magnoliopsida; Asterales; Asteraceae
Source: RNAcentral